UUGAACGCUGGCGGCAUGCCUUACACAUGCAAGUCGAACGGCAGCGCGGGAGCAAUCCUGGCGGCGAGUGGCGAACGGGUGAGUAAUAUAUCGGAACGUGCCCAGUCGUGGGGGAUAACGUAGCGAAAGUUACGCUAAUACCGCAUACGAUCUACGGAUGAAAGCAGGGGAUCGCAAGACCUUGCGCGAUUGGAGCGGCCGAUAUCAGAUUAGGUAGUUGGUGAGGUAAAGGCUCACCAAGCCAACGAUCUGUAGCUGGUCUGAGAGGACGACCAGCCACACUGGAACUGAGACACGGUCCAGACUCCUACGGGAGGCAGCAGUGGGGAAUUUUGGACAAUGGGCGCAAGCCUGAUCCAGCAAUGCCGCGUGCAGGACGAAGGCCUUCGGGUUGUAAACUGCUUUUGUACGGAACGAAACGGUCUGGGUUAAUACCCUGGGCUAAUGACGGUACCGUAAGAAUAAGCACCGGCUAACUACGU
This 482-nucleotide ribosomal RNA is filed under the name uncultured bacterium. RNAcentral's name for it is "bacterial SSU rRNA". It matches the Rfam family "Bacterial small subunit ribosomal RNA", at positions 30 to 506 of the family's 1533-position model. The record is from RNAcentral.